UAGGGAAUCUUCGGCAAUGGGGGCAACCCUGACCGAGCAACGCCGCGUGAGUGAAGAAGGUUUUCGGAUCGUAAAGCUCUGUUGUAAGUCAAGAACGAGUGUGAGAGUGGAAAGUUCACACUGUGACGGUAGCUUACCAGAAAGGGACGGCUAACUACGUGCCAGCAGCCGCGGUAAUACGUAGGUCCCGAGCGUUGUCCGGAUUUAUUGGGCGUAAAGCGAGCGCAGGCGGUUUGAUAAGUCUGAAGUUAAAGGCUGUGGCUCAACCAUAGUUCGCUUUGGAAACUGUCAAACUUGAGUGCAGAAGGGGAGAGUGGAAUUCCAUGUGUAGCGGUGAAAUGCGUAGAUAUAUGGAGGAACACCGGUGGCGAAAGCGGCUCUCUGGUCUGUAACUGACGCUGAGGCUCGAAAGCGUGGGGAGCGAACAGGAUUAGAUACCCUGGUAGUCCACGCCGUAAACGAUGAGUGCUAGGUGUUGGAUCCUUUCCGGGAUUCAGUGCCGCAGCUAACGCAUUAAGCACUCCGCCUGGGGAGUACGACCGCAAGGUUUG
This 551-nucleotide ribosomal RNA is filed under the name uncultured bacterium. Its description in RNAcentral is "bacterial SSU rRNA". It matches the Rfam family "Bacterial small subunit ribosomal RNA", at positions 355 to 897 of the family's 1533-position model. The record is from RNAcentral.